RNAcentral lists this long non-coding RNA (1380 nucleotides) under Gossypium barbadense (sea-island cotton). Its description in RNAcentral is "long non-coding RNA (GBAR_LNC020291)". Lineage: Eukaryota; Viridiplantae; Streptophyta; Magnoliopsida; Malvales; Malvaceae. The record is from RNAcentral.
GAAAAAAGAGAAUAAAUAAAAAAAUGAAAUUAAAAUAGAACAGGGACCAAUCUGCGACGCACGCAUUAUAUGAGGGGGCCCAAAUGGAAAUAAUCUGCCUCCCUAAAACGCUGCACCGCAAUGAGGACUGAUUUGAAACAAGGUAAAAACAUUUGGGCCAAAUUAAAUAAAUAAUUGACUUAAUAAAACAUGGCACAAAGGGGAAGGACUUAUUGCACAAUUCUCCCAUUGAAGAUUGAUAUACGCGGACCCCCAAACUAAACAGUGCCAUCAUUGCUCAGUUUUAAGUUUUAAAAAACAAAUUUAGGGAAAUGUUUAGCCUUUCCCUUUGAAGCAGAAACUGCUUCUUUUGGGGUUUUCUUAACCUUUUGGCCGCCGUUCAGCCCAUGCCCCGAUUUCGUCGGAGGGGACACCAGCUCGACGACUCCGGCGAAAGGUAAGUCUCCCUUUUUUUUUUCUUUUUCGUAUUUUAAAGAAAAGAAAUAAAAGAUAAUAAUGAAAUAAAAGCAAAAUAGAAUGAAAGAACAAAAAUCUCUUUCCCUUUUUUAUCAUUACAUGCGCAGAAACAAAAUAAAAAGAAAUCACUAAAACACUUCUAGUCAUCACCUUAAAAACUGAUAUCUGCUCUAUUAUAUAUAUUUUUUCCUCUGUAUUUUUUUUUUCAGUCUCCUCCCCAUUUAGUACAUAGAUCUAGGCUUUUUAUAGCCUAAAAAAUACAUUUUAUUUACACAAUUUUCUUUUUCGGACUCUUCUAGUCCACAUUUGCAGGUGAUCGUGGCGAUUACAGCAUGCGUGGAGGUGGUCGACUCCAAGUUGUGCGGUGACUGGAGUUUCUGGGAGCGAAAUCGCGCAAAAAAAAAGGGUGACAGUUGUGGCGCCGUUGCUCUAGCUGUUUUAGGGUUUCUGCUGUAUUUGUUUGGCUAGGUUUGGGUUAAAUAGGAUAUUUGGGCUUAGCAAAAUUGGGCCCAUUUAUUGAUUUGGGCCCGGGCAUAUUUGGGCAUGUACAUGAUACGAAUAGGAGAAUUCGCAAGUGACGAACUCAAAAGCUGCGAAGUAGUAAGCGAAAGAAUUGUUUGGGUUCCAACAUCUCUAAUUCACCAAAAUAUGUAUAAAAAAUUACGUUUGCACUCCCAUAUGGCAGAGCAACAUUGUCAAGCUCAAUGGUUGCAGCAUUCUCAUCCAAAUGCCGAAAAAUAUCCUCAAAAAAUUUCACAUCGCAAGACACAAAGAAUUUCUUAGAAUCCAGAUUAUAUAAAUACCGACCAUUCUUGCCCAAAGGGUACCAACAAAAACACACUUUCGACUUUGACUAGCAAACUUAUCACCCUUAGUAUGUUGAUUAUGAGCAAAACAUAAGCAACCAAACACACGAAUAUCAUC